Long non-coding RNA from Echinops telfairi (small Madagascar hedgehog), 1816 nucleotides. RefSeq lists it as uncharacterized. The transcript is spliced from 2 exons. The record is from RefSeq and is a predicted model, not a curated record. Lineage: Eukaryota; Metazoa; Chordata; Mammalia; Afrosoricida; Tenrecidae.
GCUUCAGUAUUCACUGUUGCCCUCCCAAUACUUUCUGUCUCUCUUCCUUAAUCCUCACUCCCCCUUUCUGGACCAUUCGACUCGUCAGCAGGCUCCGAAAGAUUGGGGCCCGGACAGGGGGCUGAAAACAGGGGACCCAGUGAAGGACACCGCGGAUUACAAAGGUGUACACGAAGAGAUUAGUGUGCGAUUCCGGAACUGAGUGGUUGCCAACCCAACUUCUGAAACGGAGAGAUGGCUAAGAAGUACUGCACUCAGAAGUUUCUGCAAGAGUUUAAAAAUUUUCCCAUUUCCUUUUGCUGAAGAAGGCAAGCAUAUUAAUAAUUAUAGCUUGGGGAUGAGGGGCUCCCUAUUUUCCAAGGAUAUGGUUCUCAUUGUUUAUCUUAUUCACAUAAGGUUUGGGGAGUUAGGUAUAAUCAUUCUUCUUUUGCAGCAACUACAGUUCUUAACUUCAUAUUAAUGCUACUCGGUAUAUUCAAGCCUGUGUGAAAAUUCCUUAUGUUAUUUUAUCAGGAGAUAUUACUUGGAAUUCUAGUACAGGGGUUAUGACUUGUUCUUCAAAUUGUACUUUACAACAUUGUGUAAAUUUUACCUGGUGGAAAACUUUUAACCAAACCCGAGAGUUUAUAUCUUGUUAAAGCAAGUCCUGAGAUUUGGUUACCUGUCAAUUUAAUUCGACCCUGGAGCGAAUCUGCGAGAGUAAUGCAGAUCUACAAUGCCUUGACUUAAUUGAUCCAUCGAAUGAAGAGAAUGAUUGGACUGAUAAUAGCCACAGUGAUUGCACUUGUAGCUGUAGCAACUACUGCAGGAGUGGCGGGAGUUGCUUUGCAGCAAGAAAUACAAACAGCAGACUUUGUUCGAGGGUGGCAUAGAGAUUCUCAUCUGUUGUGGCAACAACAACAUGACAUUGAUACUCAAAUAGCUGAAGACAUCGCCAACUUACAACAAACAAUGUUGUGGAUUGGGAGAUCAGAUAUCUGUGUUAGCUACUCAAGUUAUGCUUCGAUGUGAUUGGAACACCUCUCAUUUUUGGACUACUCCUGUUCUGUGUAACGUUAGUAAGGAUUGGAAAGAUUAGAAAUUUAUUAAUUGGACAUAAAAAUGUAUCUUUAGAAAUUCAGUUAUUGGAAUAUCAAAUUGGUGAAACUUUCAGUAGACAAUUACCCAAACUUACUGUCUUCUAUUAACCCUUUGGAACAAGCAAAAGCUUUAUUAUCUUUAACCAUUGGUAGUGUUAUUCUAUUAAUCAUUAAGGUUAUGGUUGAAUUAUUGGCCUUAAGUACAAAGUUACAUGAAGUACACCUGCAUACUUCGCCCCCUCCCCAAACAGGGGUAUAAGGCAGAGGCUGGUUAGUCAGAGGCGGGUAAGAUUGAGUCCGAGUCUCUCAACCUAAGACAGGUCAUAGUCGCCUGGAGGACUGUGGCUGAUGACGGGUAAGAGUGAUUUCAGGACUCGACAACCUAAAACAGGCACAGUCAUCUGCCGACGUUUUGAGUAAAAACGACUUUAGUGAAUAAAAAAGGGGGAGCUGUUGAAGGCCAUUAAGACUCAGCCUUGAAACGGCUGAGAAGAUAUAAACCCAGGUGUCAUAUCUGCUGUUUGCUUCUGCGGCUUGAGACCAAGAAAAAGAACAAGGACGAAAGCGAGUUCUGGGAAAUCAGGAUGAUUAACUUUCUCAAGGAUGCUUGGUCUGGAAAAACAUAGAGUUGUUGUGUAUGCAAUGUGCUUGCUUAACACUGAGAAAAAUAUAACCCCGGGUUGUUUCUGCAUGUAUAAAAGGAAGAUGUAGAAUAAACUCGGGGCUUCAAUAUUCAA